This is a long non-coding RNA of Cebus imitator (Panamanian white-faced capuchin), 1964 nucleotides long. RefSeq lists it as uncharacterized. The transcript has 2 exons. NCBI's taxonomy places the organism in Eukaryota, Metazoa, Chordata, Mammalia, Primates, Cebidae. The record is from RefSeq and is a predicted model, not a curated record.
GGAAGUUGAGCAAGAGGAUUCCUGAAGUGUCUAUUAAAACCCAGACUAUUUGGUUGUCCACUUUGGCAUGUAGUGGAUUAUCUGUACAUUUUUGCCUAGAGAUCACUUAAUUUGUGGCAUAGAAAAACUAUGUAUUCAAGAGAUCUCUUGAAAUAACUUGGAUUUGGUGGGGGAUGAGGAGGGGUUUCUAAGACAUGUAAUGCAGUGGAAAGACCUACGCCUAGGUUCAAAUCCCAUUGUUUCCCACUAACCAGAGCUUCCUUAAUAAGUUGGGGUUAAUUCAUUUCUCCUAGUAUUAUUGUAAGAAUUACACUGAUUUUAUUUAACAAAUUUUUAUGAGGUGCCUGUGGUGUACUAGGCACUGACCUUGCUACUGUGGAUAUAAUAAUAAUAAACAAGACAUAUAAAAGUCACUGCUCCAUAAGGUGAUCUACCCUUGACCUUGCCCUUUUGUUUCCUCCGUCUUCCUUUUUUUAGAGGGGAAGAAGGUCAUGUGGGAAUCAGUUAAGUCAUUUGUGGGUAGAAGACAAGCACCAGCUUUGCAGGAAACCCUCCAGCCUCCUCCAGGUACACCCUGACGAUCUCAGAACUGAUCAGGUAAAGCCAGCUCUGAGAUAGACCCUUCUGUGGCCUGUCGGGAGAGCAGAGCAAGAAGAGCAGAAUCCAGGCAAACCUGUUAUCUGGACUGGCAGGAAUGGGAAGAAGCAUUUCCAGAUCCCAGCUGAACAACCAAACCAUCACCUAUGUUCAAAGGGCUUCCUAUUGAAUGCAUUUGAAAAUGAUUUGCAAACUUUAAACAAUGUCUUUAGUUUAAAAGCACUAAAUAUUUUUUAAAAAGUCAGUAGAUUCUCCUUUAGCACCUCCUCACCCUCACCAUUCUUUUCUUUCUCAGCACAAUGGCAUUACUGUUCUAAGCACUCAAUAGUAUUCAAUAUCUUAGUAUUCAAUAUCAAUAGUAUUCAAUAUCAAUUCACACUUUUAAGAAAAUCUUAGACAAAAGAAAAAAGUUUAUUUGUAAGGUGAGUUAACCUUUGUUUUUAAAAAAUGGGUUGGGUCAUAUAUAAACCUUACAAAAGGUUAAUGCAUAGCACACAAAUAUAGUUCAAUUUCCUUUUUAUGUGAUUAAAGAAACUUAUCUACAGAGUUGUCUAUGACAUCUACAAAGGAGGUGAUGAUAAGGAUAAUACAGCUCAUGCUGUUCAAUGGUUCCUUAAAUUAAAGAACAUGGGAUACAUUAGUGUGAUUUCUUUUUCCUCUUUCAAGUUCUGUAUUUACCACUCCAUGCCCUCCAGGUUAGCUGACUUUAGAGCUCUGGAAUAAGGACUAGUUGAAUUUGCUGCAAUAUUUUAAUAUGCCUAGCACAGGGGCCAAAGGAAAACUUCCCUUCCAUUCUCUAAAGGUUCACUGAAAAUCAGCUGGCAAUAGGCAGAUUAGUAGGGAAAAUGGCAUACCAAUUACUAGUAUCCACGAGAGGGAAUCACAGAGUGAUUGCCUCAUACCCCGUGGGGUAGAGAUGUUUAUAUACCCUGCAUCUUGAGGGAAGGGGAAAUGGAGACAUUUAGGUGAUUUUAUAUGGGGCAGGAAACAAUUUUUAGGGGAAUUCACUAGGUGUGAAGAACAUACAAUAGCCUGGGACAAAGUCUGUUGGGCCUGCAGAGUGGACAAUGGUUUGUGACAGAGCCUGUCCAGGAGUGUUGACAGAUUUCAGUCUUCCUUCCUGUGAUAGGAGAUGAGUUAAUGGAAACUCAGGGAAGAAACUAAGAGUUUUUGUUCCAUGUGAGAUACCCAUGCCACUUUAAAAAACAAACUAUCGUGAUGUCUAAUUACUUUGUGAAUGAUUUUAAUAGCAAUAACAAUGGAGAUGGAAGAAUUUUUGAAGCAGUACUAGUUCCAGAGCUUUCAUGUAAGAUGCCAAGGUUUUGGCAUCCUCAGAUUGGCAGUGAUAUUGGAUAACUUCUAAGGUC